UACGAAGGGGGCUAGCGUUGCUCGGAGUGACUGGGCGUAAAGGGCGCGUAGGCGGAUUGUACAGUCAGGCGUGAAAUUCCCGGGCUCAACCUGGGGGCUGCGCUUGAGACGUGCGAUCUUGAGUGGGGAAGAGGGUCGUGGAAUUCCCAGUGUAGAGGUGAAAUUCGUAGAUAUUGGGAAGAACACCGGUGGCGAAGGCGGCGACCUGGUCCUUGACUGACGCUGAGGCGCGAAAGCGUGGGGAGCAAACAGG
Molecule: ribosomal RNA, 253 nt
Filed under: uncultured bacterium
Lineage: Bacteria
Description: partial 16S ribosomal RNA
Rfam family: Bacterial small subunit ribosomal RNA
Source: RNAcentral